UCGUGUCCCGCGCUCCUGAACGCCAUCAGCC
Molecule: non-coding RNA, 31 nt
Filed under: Homo sapiens (human)
Lineage: Eukaryota; Metazoa; Chordata; Mammalia; Primates; Hominidae
Source: RNAcentral